Molecule: ribosomal RNA, 449 nt
Filed under: uncultured bacterium
Lineage: Bacteria
Description: partial 16S ribosomal RNA
Rfam family: Bacterial small subunit ribosomal RNA
Source: RNAcentral
AACGAACGCUGGCGGCAGGCCUAACACAUGCAAGUCGAACGCCCUAGCAAUAGGGAGUGGCAGACGGGUGAGUAACACGUGGGAACCUUCCCUAUAGUACGGAAUAGCCCAGGGAAACUUGGCGUAAUACCGUAUACGCCCGAGAGGGGAAAGAUUUAUCGCUAUAGGAUGGGCCCGCGUCGGAUUGGCUAGUUGGUGAGGUAAUGGCUCACCAAGGCAACGAUCCGUAGCUGGUUUGAGAGAAUGACCAGCCACACUGGGACUGAGACACGGCCCAGACUCCUACGGGAGGCAGCAGUGGGGAAUCUUGGACAAUGGGCGCAAGCCUGAUCCAGCCAUGCCGCGUGAGUGAUGAAGGCCUUAGGGUUGUAAAGCUCUUUUGCCGGGGACGAUAAUGACGGUACCCGGAGAAUAAGUCCCGGCUAACUUCGUGCCAGCAGCCGCCGUAA